AGUGGCGGACGGGUGAGUAACGCGUGAGAAUCUGCCUUGGGGUCGGGGACAACCACUGGAAACGGUGGCUAAUACCGGAUACGCCUUCGGGUAAAAGAUUUAUUGCCCUAAGAGGAGCUCGCGUCUGAUUAGCUAGUUGGUGAGGUAAGAGCUCACCAAGGCAGCGAUCAGUAGCUGGUCUGAGAGGACGAUCAGCCACACUGGGACUGAGACACGGCCCAGACUCCUACGGGAGGCAGCAGUGGGGAAUUUUCCGCAAUGGGCGAAAGCCUGACGGAGCAAGACCGCGUGAGGGAGGAAGGCUCUUGGGUUGUAAACCUCUUUUCUCAGGGAAGAAGCUCUGACGGUACCUGAGGAAUCAGCCUCGGCUAACUCCGUGCCAGCAGCCGCGGUAAUACGGAGGAGGCAAGCGUUAUCCGGAAUUAUUGGGCGUAAAGCGUCCGCAGGUGGCGAUUCAAGUCUGCUGUCAAAGCACGGGGCUUAACUCCGUAAAGGCGGUGGAAACUGAAUAGCUAGAGUGCCGUAGGGGUAGAGGGAAUUCCCGGUGUAGCGGUGAAAUGCGUAGAGAUCGGGAAGAACAUCGGUGGCGAAAGCGCUCUACUGGACGGCAACUGACACUCAGGGACGAAAGCUAGGGGAGCGAAUGGGAUUAGAUACCCC
RNAcentral lists this ribosomal RNA (660 nucleotides) under uncultured bacterium. Its description in RNAcentral is "bacterial SSU rRNA". It matches the Rfam family "Bacterial small subunit ribosomal RNA", at positions 94 to 788 of the family's 1533-position model. The record is from RNAcentral.